RNAcentral lists this ribosomal RNA (429 nucleotides) under Fusobacteriota bacterium. RNAcentral's name for it is "Fusobacteria bacterium partial 16S ribosomal RNA". It matches the Rfam family "Bacterial small subunit ribosomal RNA", at positions 355 to 776 of the family's 1533-position model. The record is from RNAcentral. Lineage: Bacteria; Fusobacteriati; Fusobacteriota.
UGGGGAAUAUUGCACAAUGGGCGCAAGCCUGAUGCAGCCAUGCCGCGUGUAUGAAGAAGGCCUUCGGGUUGUAAAGUACUUUCAGCGGGGAGGAAGGGAGUAAAGUUAAUACCUUUGCUCAUUGACGUUACCCGCAGAAGAAGCACCGGCUAACUCCGUGCCAGCAGCCGCGGUAAUACGGAGGGUGCAAGCGUUAAUCGGAAUUACUGGGCGUAAAGCGCACGCAGGCGGUUUGUUAAGUCAGAUGUGAAAUCCCCGGGCUCAACCUGGGAACUGCAUCUGAGACUGGCAAGCUGGAGUCUCGUAGAGGGGGGUAGAAUUCCAGGUGUAGCGGUGAAAUGCGUAGAGAUCUGGAGGAAUACCGGUGGCGAAGGCGGCCCCCUGGACGAAGACUGACGCUCAGGUGCGAAAGCGUGGGGAGCAAACAGG